Molecule: ribosomal RNA, 308 nt
Filed under: uncultured soil eukaryote
Lineage: Eukaryota
Description: eukaryotic LSU rRNA
Source: RNAcentral
ACGCAACUGGCGCUAGCUGGAACUCCAGCUAGCAUGCUUGUUUCAGUGUCUUUUUCUUUCCUAACCGAAAUCAUAAUGCGAGAGAUACCCUUCUCUUGUUAAACAUGAAAGCACUCUGCGCUCUGCGAGCGACUUUGAUUCGUCAUGGUUCGCACUCAAUGCAGCAGUCACAUUGUUUACAGUGUGAACUCAUUGAGAGUGGAGGCAGCGCGGCCUUACAGCUGCAAGUGCUUAGACACUCAAACUUUUCUUGUAUCUGAAAUCAAGCAGGACCACCCGCUGAACUUAAGCAUAUCAAUAAGCGGAGG